This 309-nucleotide ribosomal RNA is filed under the name uncultured bacterium. Its description in RNAcentral is "partial 16S ribosomal RNA". It matches the Rfam family "Bacterial small subunit ribosomal RNA", at positions 504 to 808 of the family's 1533-position model. The record is from RNAcentral.
AGAGACAGCAGUCGCCGCGGUAAUACAGAGGGUGCGAGCGUUAAUCGGAUUUACUGGGCGUAAGCGUGCGUAGGCGGCUUCUUAAGUCGGAUGUGAAAUCCCUGAGCUUAACUUAGGAAUUGCAUUCGAUACUGGGAAGCUAGAGUAUGGGAGAGGAUGGUAGAAUUCCAGGUGUAGCGGUGAAAUGCGUAGAGAUCUGGAGGAAUACCGAUGGCGAAGGCAGCCAUCUGGCCUAAUACUGACGCUGAGGUACGAAAGCAUGGGGAGCAAACAGGAUUAGAUACCCGUGUAGUCCCUGUCUCUUAUACA